This 224-nucleotide long non-coding RNA is filed under the name Glycine max (soybean). RNAcentral describes it as "long non-coding RNA (GMAX_LNC004547)". The record is from RNAcentral. Lineage: Eukaryota; Viridiplantae; Streptophyta; Magnoliopsida; Fabales; Fabaceae.
UGAGUCAAGAAGCAAGGGGCCAACCACCUUAAGAGCUAUUGGACUAAGAAGCACUCCAAAUUGAGUGAAACACCAAAGAUAGAAUAGCCACCACAAUUGAGGACUUUUUUUUUGUAAUUUUGUAAUUGGCAAUUUGCUUUGCUUUCAAAUUUUGUAACAAAAAGGCCUUUCAUUGGAAGUAAGUUGGGAGCCUCCAAUAGGUCACCCUACUUCCAUUUGUGUGU